Molecule: non-coding RNA, 90 nt
Organism: Paramarasmius palmivorus
Lineage: Eukaryota; Fungi; Basidiomycota; Agaricomycetes; Agaricales; Marasmiaceae
Source: the annotation of a GenBank genome assembly
UCCGUUAUGGUAUAGUGGCUAACAUCAUCGCCUCUCAUAGAUUCACCUGAGUACUCGCGAUAGGCCAGCGUCCGAUUCCCUGUAAUGGAA